This 253-nucleotide ribosomal RNA is filed under the name uncultured bacterium. RNAcentral describes it as "partial 16S ribosomal RNA". It matches the Rfam family "Bacterial small subunit ribosomal RNA", at positions 524 to 776 of the family's 1533-position model. The record is from RNAcentral.
UACGUAGGGUGCAAGCGUUGUCCGGAAUUAUUGGGCGUAAAGAGCUCGUAGGCGGUCUGUCGCGUCGGAUGUGAAAAUCCAGGGCUCAACCCUGGACCUGCAUUCGAUACGGGCAGACUAGAGUUCGGUAGGGGAGACUGGAAUUCCUGGUGUAGCGGUGAAAUGCGUAGAGAUCAGGAAGAACAUCGGUGGCGAAGGCGCUCUGCUGGACCAUAACUGACACUCAGGGACGAAAGCUAGGGGAGCGAAUGGG